Molecule: long non-coding RNA, 2589 nt
Organism: Thunnus maccoyii (southern bluefin tuna)
Lineage: Eukaryota; Metazoa; Chordata; Actinopteri; Scombriformes; Scombridae
Exons: 2
Source: RefSeq, a predicted model, not a curated record
CCAGUGGUGGAAGAAGUGCUCAGAAUCACGACAAUGUAAAAUACAUUUUAUAUGCAAAACACAUGAUGGUCUGAUGAGAUAUGAGCAGCACUUAAGUAAUGCCCAAACCCAUAAAUAUCUGCAUCAGCUCCCAGCAGGACACUUCGCCCUGUGGCCACAGCUUUCCUCUGACUCUCAAAAAGAAGAGACUUGUUCUCCUAGUUUGACUGAGGAAAAAGAUGAAAAAUGUACAUCUACACACGUGUGUUUCAGAUUCAGGUGCUCAGACAAACCAGCAUCAACCAUAUCAAAUACUUCAUACAAGUAUGAAAAGACCAGAAAAAUUUGUCAUCCAGACUAUCAUCUAUAAGUAACUACUUCCUCCAUCACUGUCAGCCUCAAGGUGCCACAUCACACCUUGUCCAUUUUUGGUGAAAUUAAAACAAGCAUAAAUCACAUCCAUCCACGAUUAUCAGUGAAUACAGAUACCAUCAAUCACUGAGAAACCAGUGAAGAGCCAGGGGAGGGUGUGUGAGUGCAGACUGAGAGACACAGCAUCCAGCCGAGCAAUCAAGCAAGAGCUAGAAGUCUGGCUAGUUGCAGUGGACAAGUCAGGCCUACCUGGCAAGUUUAAGGCCUGGAUAUACCAACAUGGCAUCCUCCCACUGAUUCUCUGGCCACUCUUGGUCUAUGAAGUCCUGAUCUCCACAGUUGAGGGCUUUGAGAGGAAGUUCAGCAGGUUCCUAAUGAUGUGUCUGGGACUACUUCAGAGCCUGAGCAGCAUCACCCUGUACAGCGGAGCAGCAAGCUCAAGCUCCUCAUCAGCAGCCUGAAUGAAGAAUUUAUGGUGACCAGUACUUGGAAGGUGCUGCAAUACUGAGAGUCCUGCAACCUAAGUCUCUCAGGCUGGCAUCGAGGUCAGGACAGGAUGGAAGUGGAGAGCAGCAGAGGCCGUGGAUGUUGUUUAGUCUCAGCUAAGGCACAGGGUGCGGGUGGGUGCAGUGUCUCAUGGAAGGGCUGGCCUGGGUAGUAGCUUAACACCUCGCUACGACAAGGCACAGGGGAAGGACAAGAGUUCACUGAUCCAGGCUGAGGUGUGAGUGUCAGUCGAGGAGGAGCGAGCCAACAGAAUGGUCUGAAUGCAACAGCAGUGAGUCUGGACAAGAUGGGAGCAAGCAGUGGAGAGCAAAGCCUCAUGGGCCAAGCUAGGGAAAGCCGAGCCCCAUUGAAUAAAAUUCUUAAUCCAAGUGGUUUAUAACGUUCUACCAAGCCCAUCCAGCUUGUUUUGAUGGGGAAAGGUGGAGCCACCAGAUUGCCCUCUGUGCCUGAAGAGAGGGACCCUAAGCACAUCCUCAGCUGCUGUUGGAAAUCCCUGAGCUAGGGGCACUAACGCCGGCGCCAUGACCAAGUCCUGAAGGCCAUAGCGCCUCUGCCCAGUGAAGAAGUACAUUGCUUUCGUCAGCAACGACACAAGACUGAGAGCUGAAAGUUGACCUGGUUAAGCAACUGAGGUUCCCAGAAACUGUUGCCACAACAACGCUAAAGCCAGACAUGGUGCUGAUCUUGGAAACAUCCAAGCAGGUCAUUCUUUUAGAGCUCACCAGUCCCUGGGAGGACCACACUGAGGUGGUCAAUGAGAGGAAGAGGGCAAAGUACACUGGUUGAAGAAUGCUAAAGCAAUGGGUGGCAAGCAAGGUGCAAGCCCAUGAGGCAGGAUGCAGAGGGUUCACAGGCCAGUCCCUCUGCAGGGCCUACAACAUGCUGGGUAUCACAGGGGCCAGUAAGUGAAGGGCCAUCAAAUUGGCCACCAAGGCAGCAGAAGAAAAAUAUUAUUCCACCAAUAAAAAACAAAAAAAGUAGAUUUAACUCCUUUUUACACAGCUGAGCAGUGUGAAUGUGUGUGUGAGGGUUUUGCCAUUUAAUACAAGUCAAAUAUCCCCAGGGAAAGAGAGAAAAAAGGUUAAGUGGUUAUUUGCUAGUACAAAGCCUAUUCAUGUAUGUACUGUAAACAGCUGAGUAAGGUUAUUCAAAAAUGCAUCUGACUCAACUGCGUUUUGGUAGAAGUUACAGGUGUAACACCUCCCUGCUUGAAUUUGAAUGAAUAUAAAAUUUUAAAUGUAAUGAAAGUCAAACUUAUGGUGGACUUCAUGUGAGCUGUGAUUCAACUGAAAAAGGAUGAAUGGGACUGAGAUCAAACUAGAUUUUAAUUGGAAAAAUAAAUGAAGUAAAGACAGAUGCUCUUACUUAUUUAGUGCCUACAGAGUAUGUACUCUGCCAUAAAUGGGAUUUAAAAGAGUGAUAUAAGUAGACCUAUCCUCCAAAACAGCUUAAAACUUUUAAAGGAGCAGACUUUUAUUAGUGUCUUUUGAGAAUGUUGUUCAGGAUCAGUCCAGUCAGAUGGUAAUUGAGAUGGCCAAGAGAGGGUAUAACCAGAAAUUGUCAUUUGUGAUGCACUUGUGUUGUUUCGUGCCUUGUGGCACUUGUGGAGCUUCGAGUGUUGAGUCAAUUAUUCUCAGGGGUUCUCCUUGAUCUACUAUAGCUUGGAUUGGUCCUAAUUUGUAUGUCGCUCUGGACAAAAGCAAAUGAAUAAAUGUAAAUGUUUUAUCAAAA